RNAcentral lists this ribosomal RNA (120 nucleotides) under Helianthus annuus (common sunflower). The record is from RNAcentral. Lineage: Eukaryota; Viridiplantae; Streptophyta; Magnoliopsida; Asterales; Asteraceae.
GGUUGCGAUCAUACCAGCACUAAUGCACCGGAUCCCAUCAGAACUCCGCAGGGGUCGUAGUUGUUUGGGUCUAGGGGAUUGGGUGCAGGUACCCUAGGUAUCUCCUCUGGGUUGUAAUCA